AGAGAAUCGUACCCCAAACCGACACAGGUGGUCCGGAUGAGAAUUCCAAGGCGCUUGAGAGAACUCGGGUGAAGGAACUAGGCAAAAUGACACCGUAACUUCGGGAGAAGGUGUGCCCCUGAUGGUGAAGCAUUUACUGCGUAAGCUAUUGGGGGUUGCAGAGACCAGGUGGCUGCAACUGUUUACUAAAAACAUAGCACUGUGCAAAAUCGAAAGAUGACGUAUACGGUGUGACGCCUGCCCGGUGCCGGAAGGUUAAUUGAUGGGGUUAGCUUAGGCGAAGCUCUUGAUCGAAGCCC
This 299-nucleotide non-coding RNA is filed under the name Pseudoponticoccus marisrubri. Its description in RNAcentral is "Ponticoccus sp. SJ5A-1 Bacterial large subunit ribosomal RNA". It matches the Rfam family "Bacterial large subunit ribosomal RNA", at positions 1636 to 1920 of the family's 2925-position model. The record is from Rfam by way of RNAcentral. Lineage: Bacteria; Pseudomonadati; Pseudomonadota; Alphaproteobacteria; Rhodobacterales; Roseobacteraceae.